UACGUAGGGUGCAAGCGUUGUCCGGAAUUAUUGGGCGUAAAGAGCUCGUAGGCGGUCUGUCGCGUCUGCUGUGAAAACCCGAGGCUCAACCUCGGGCCUGCAGUGGGUACGGGCAGACUAGAGUGCGGUAGGGGAGAUUGGAAUUCCUGGUGUAGCGGUGGAAUGCGCAGAUAUCAGGAGGAACACCGAUGGCGAAGGCAGAUCUCUGGGCCGUAACUGACGCUGAGGAGCGAAAGCAUGGGGAGCGAACAGG
This 253-nucleotide ribosomal RNA is filed under the name uncultured bacterium. RNAcentral's name for it is "partial 16S ribosomal RNA". It matches the Rfam family "Bacterial small subunit ribosomal RNA", at positions 524 to 776 of the family's 1533-position model. The record is from RNAcentral.